Long non-coding RNA from Mesocricetus auratus (golden hamster), 2359 nucleotides. RefSeq lists it as uncharacterized. The record is from RefSeq and is a predicted model, not a curated record. The transcript is spliced from 2 exons. Lineage: Eukaryota; Metazoa; Chordata; Mammalia; Rodentia; Cricetidae.
GGGUCAAACGACCCUCCCCACCCUCUUCCCUAAGGGGAAUACCAGCAGUGAACAGGCACAGCUGUGAAGAUCAUUGGCGAGCAGACGCCGCCGGCCUGAGGGAGAUGGCGGCUGCUUGGCUUGGAGGGUAGUGCAUCAAGGCCUCCUCUGCCACACAGUCACCUCAUACGAUGUCGCUGCAGGUUCCAAAGCAUCAGCGCCCACCAAGGGAACCCUCUGAGAGAAUAGCCUUGGGACUUCUCACACACCUGCUUCGGUGCUACAAGAAAACAGCGUCUCUUUGUCUAGCUAGGUGAUGUCAGCGGACCUUGGACCCACUUCCUCAUAGCACACUGUUUCUCCCUCCCCGCUCUCUCACAAGGCACCUUCAAAAAAAAAAAAAAAAGUAACUCUGCUGUCCAUGGGCAGGGAAGCUUUUAUUUUGGACCCAGCUGGUACUGCCUGCCGUUGUAAUAAACCCUGCCAACACCGCUCUGUCAUGAGAUCUAGGUAAAGACACAGCCACGAAACAAACCAACAGAGAAACAGCUACAGGCCAGUGUCCCUCCUGAGCACAAAUGCACAGAUUCUCAACAAAAUACUUGCUAACUGAACACGGGCGCACCUUGAAAUGAUCACUCACAAUGACUAAGCUGGGUUAUUCCCAGAGAUGCAGGGAUAGUUCAGCAUAUGAGAACCAAUAGAUGGAAUGUAAUUUAUGUAAGCGGACGUUAAGAAAAAAAUAUCACACGAUCUUCUCAAUAGACUUUUACUUUCGUGAUUAAAAAGUCCUGGAGACAGCGGGUUGGAGGCACCAUACAGGAACACAACAAAAGUCACAUAAGACAGUCCCACGGCUGGCAUCAUGCUAAACAGAGGAAAACUCAAAGCGAUUGUAUUAAAGCCAGGAGCAAAAUAGGGAUGCCCACCUUCUCCAUUCUAAUCCAACAAAGCGCUCAGGGUCUUGGGGCAGUAAGACAAGAGAGGGAAAUAAAAGGGACACAGAUGGGAAAAGCCCUGUUUGUAGAUGUGAUACCUUAAGUGAGACUCCUACAGAAAACCCGCUAGAAACUGACCAGCACUUUCAGCCAAGUUGCAGGAUCAGUAGCCUUGCUCCACACUGACGACGGACACCGAGGAAGAAACCAGGAAAGACGGCUCUGUUUGCAAUAGACCCCGGAAAGGGGUAAAGCCCCUGGAGUGAACUGAUCCAAGAAACCAGGAAAGACGGCUCUGUUUGCAAUAGACCCCGGAAAGGGGUAAAGCCCCUGGAGUGAACUGAUCCAAGGAGGCAAAGGGUCCCUAAACCCCAAACUUGAAAACUCUGAGGAAAGAAAUUGAAGAAGACACUAGAUGAUGGAAAGACUUGCCUUGCCCAUGGGUUGGUAGAAUAUUACUGUAAAAAUAACCAUCCUACAGAGAGCAAUGCAGAACAACGUGAACCCUCUUAGCCCCCAUGCUUCCCAAAGCAGAAGCCGUGCAGUCUGUGUGUCUGGCCCCGGGGUGGUAGGGAACAGCAGUAACAUCCACCUGGGAUACGGCACUGCCACUGCCCUCAAACGAACCUGCAUGUCACCCGAGCUCUGGCCUACACUAGCCUACAUAACCUUUGACAUCUUGUAAGACAAAUUAUUUUCCUUUCUGUACCUGGCACAGACACUUUGCCCGCUGCUGGAAAGAUUAAUAGCCCAGUCUACACGAAUACCGGAGAGAUUCUGCUCCCAAGAGACCCGGAUACUCCCUCUCCUGAGAAGGAAUCCAUGGCCCAUAUUAGCAUCCGUGAGGCCUGGCCCAAGGCAACCAUACCCAGUACCUGCGGAGACUAUGGAGGUUGCCCAAGACCGUGCCACACAAUGUCAUUGUCCUCCCAGGGAAACGACACACCCAUUUUUUUAUCUUAUCACCCUGGCCUAAUCACCACGGAGCCUCUCUGUAUUUUAUCGCUUCUGAGUUUGUUUUCUCAUCCCUGACCCAAGGUCCAAUGCAGUCAGCUGAUGGUGUCAUUAGAACCUCAAUGUCAUCAAAUACCUGGCCCGGCUGGUUUGGGCUGGGUCGUCAGAAGCUGUGUCAGUGAUUAGCUGUGGAGGAGACUCAGCAGCCGGCUUGGCUUCCGGGCCACCAGAUGGGGUCAGGAUUUCCCUGGGCUCACACCUUCUGUGUGGCACCAGCUCUCUGUACCUAUAUGGGCCUUGCAGUCCCUCCAGUCCCCAGGCAGCAUUCAGAGAGGCUGGGCCUUCUGGGUCCCAUGUAUCUGCGGUGUGCGGCUCAGUGCUCGAAAGCUCUUGUCAGCCAAGAGGCAGCAACCUCAGGACCGCUCCCCGGAAGCAGCAAGAGGAGUCUUGGGAUUUCGAUGUCGAAUGAAAUAAAUCGCAGGCCAGAG